CCUCCCUUGUAAUAGGCUUCAUUAUCUCCUAUUGUUAACUGAAGAAUUAUGUAUUUCAGUAAGCAAAAGUCUCGUAUUUGCAACAAAGACAGAUCGAGAAUUUAUUUUUUUUUCUUCAACGGAAAAUUGAGCACCAACUUAGCUUAGUAACAAUAUAUACAAAGAACCCAUUUUUAGGGGUUCUACAAUAAAAUUUUAACAUACCCAUAAAGCUACAAACGAGUAAUCAUAUACCUAAAUGUAAGACAACAACAAUCAAGGACCAAAUAAAGGUUCUGAGAAUAGAAGAAGUGAGGCUCAGCGAACCGACAUUACAAAUCCAAGGAAAUCAAUGGCGAAUCCACAGCUUUGAGAACCAGAAAUCGAUUCAACCCAAACCCAUCCUCAAAGCAAAACCAGAAUAAAAAAAUGCUAAAAAACAUUUUUUUUGCUUUUCUCUGAUUUUUUUUAAAUAUGUAACUCAAACGAGGAAACAAACUCAGACCAUUUUUCCUUGUGUAUCUUUCAUAGAAAAAAUGACAAAGAAUACAGAAGAAGAAAAUAAAACUUGAAUGCAAAUGACGAGUAGAAAAACCUAGAUAUUGACUGAGUUUUCUGCAAGUUUUCUCCGAUUUUUUCUCUAUAUUUCUCUGACCUAGCACGUAGGACUCACCUCAUAUACAUAGUCUUCAAAAUCUUGAAAAAAUCCGCAAAAAAAUCCAAAAAUCCUUCACGUUUUUGAACAAUUUUAGGACAAAUGGAGGGCGUGGAUUGAUUCACAUAUAUCAACGGCUCCCAUUCGUCCAACAAUUGUCCUUUUGAAUUCAAAAUUGUGCGAUUUUGGAGAGAAAAUUCGUACUACCCUCUGACAAAUCCGUUAGGAAUCAAAUGAUGUGGAGAGGGGGGAGGGGGCGUUUUGAGGGAACUCGGGUGAGUUCCAGGAGAGUUGAGGUGAGUUCAACGGUGAAGAAGAUAAACAGUAGAGUGGGCGCCGUUUCUUUGACUUCUCUAGGGUUAGGGAAUUUGGGGGAAAUAUUAUAAGGAGGGUUUUAUAUUAGGAAGAAUGGAGCGG
RNAcentral lists this long non-coding RNA (1051 nucleotides) under Nicotiana benthamiana. RNAcentral's name for it is "long non-coding RNA (NBEN_LNC035002)". The record is from RNAcentral. Lineage: Eukaryota; Viridiplantae; Streptophyta; Magnoliopsida; Solanales; Solanaceae.